CUUACAAUUUGAGAUUUUUUUUAAAAAUGUGCUAAAUGUUGAAACCAUCUCUAGUUGGGUUUUCUGUUGAAGACAACCCAAAGAGCUCUAAGUAAACAAAGAAUCAGAAUUUAAGUUCUCAUAAACUACACUCCACAAGGUGAUGCUUCAUAAAGUUCGGGCCUUUUUAAACUGGAGUCCGUAAGUAAGAAGAAUUCAGAUGCAAAAUAUCAGCGCUCCUUAGCAAGAAAAGCACCAGUACCUGAAAGAAUUUGUCCAUCUUUUGCCUG
Long non-coding RNA from Canis lupus familiaris (dog), 269 nucleotides. RefSeq lists it as uncharacterized. The record is from RefSeq and is a predicted model, not a curated record. The transcript is spliced from 3 exons. NCBI's taxonomy places the organism in Eukaryota, Metazoa, Chordata, Mammalia, Carnivora, Canidae.